GUCAGGAUGGCCGAGCGGUCUAAGGCGCCAGACUCAAUGUGCAUGAAUGGUACCUUAACCAGAACAUUGAGUAUUCUGAUCCACUAAUGUGGGCGUGAGUUCGAAUUCCACUUCUGACA
Molecule: non-coding RNA, 119 nt
Organism: Octopus bimaculoides (California two-spot octopus)
Lineage: Eukaryota; Metazoa; Mollusca; Cephalopoda; Octopoda; Octopodidae
Source: Rfam